AACGAACGCUGGCGGCGUGGAUAAGACAUGCAAGUCGAACGGGAUUUUCUUUGGUAGCAAUACCGAAGAAAGUCUAGUGGCGAACGGGUGCGUAACACGUGGGCAAUCUGCCUUAAAGUGGGGGAUAGCUCGGCGAAAGCCGGAUUAAUACCGCAUGUGAUUACUGGAGACAUCUUCGGAACAUCAAAGUCGGGGCAACCUGACGCUUUUUGAGGAGCCCGCGGCCUAUCAGCUAGUUGGUGAGGUAACGGCUCACCAAGGCUUUGACGGGUAGCUGGUCUGAGAGGACGACCAGUCACACUGGAACUGAGACACGGUCCAGACACCUACGGGUGGCAGCAGUCGAGAAUUUUUCUCAAUGGGGGAAACCCUGAAGGAGCGACGCCGCGUGGAGGAUGAAGGUCUUCGGGUUGUAAACUCCUGUCAUUUGGGAACAAUGCUUACGUAUUAACUGUACGUGAGUUGAUAGUACCAGAAGAGGAAGAGACGGCUAACUCUGUGCCAGCAGCCGCAGUAAUAC
This 520-nucleotide ribosomal RNA is filed under the name uncultured bacterium. Its description in RNAcentral is "bacterial SSU rRNA". It matches the Rfam family "Bacterial small subunit ribosomal RNA", at positions 29 to 526 of the family's 1533-position model. The record is from RNAcentral.